This is a long non-coding RNA of Ixodes scapularis (black-legged tick), 260 nucleotides long. RefSeq lists it as uncharacterized. The record is from RefSeq and is a predicted model, not a curated record. NCBI's taxonomy places the organism in Eukaryota, Metazoa, Arthropoda, Arachnida, Ixodida, Ixodidae. The transcript is spliced from 3 exons.
UGCUUGACUAAUGGCGGCCUUCUGUUUAGUGAUGAAGGAAAAAGUUGAAGAUGCUCCUAAGCAGUUGAUUCGACGCCUAUACAGUCUAGAUGCUAACUCGACGUGAAGCAGGAAUCGGAUGCAAGAGCUGCCAUCUCAAGUGGACCCGUGCGUCCAUCUUGAUCUUGCAAAACUCUCCACGAACCAGACCUCGGGCAGCAAUUCGAAUGGAACCGACUCAAUCCUCAAUUCGUGUUAUGGGAGCCUCGUGGGAAAGGGCU